This 253-nucleotide ribosomal RNA is filed under the name uncultured prokaryote. RNAcentral's name for it is "partial 16S ribosomal RNA". It matches the Rfam family "Bacterial small subunit ribosomal RNA", at positions 524 to 776 of the family's 1533-position model. The record is from RNAcentral.
GACGAAGGAUGCAAGCGUUAUCCGGAUUCAUUGGGUUUAAAGGGAGCGUAGGUGGCCUUAUAAGUCAGUGGUGAAAUCUUUGGGCUUAACCCAAAAAUUGCCAUUGAUACUGUAGGGCUUGAGUACAGUUGCCGUUGGCGGAAUAUGACAUGUAGUGGUGAAAUACAUAGAGAUGUCACAGAACACCGAUUGCGAAGGCAGCUCGCUAAACUGUGAUUGACGCUGAGGCACGAAAGCGUGGGGAUCAAACAGG